GUGGUGGAUCUGUUAGAUUAUUGUGACGGGAUUGCUUCCCUUAGAAAACUUAGUAGAUACUUAGUCAGCCGUAAGCGGUUGAGUUAAGGAAGUACUUCUUUAGCUCAGUCGGUUAGCGCGCUGCCUUGUAACACAGAGGUCCCGGGUUCGAGUCCCGGUGGAGACAAGCAAUUUUGUAAUGAAAUUCGUGCUCUCCGGUUACAUUAUGAUAACAUAGAUAAAUUGAUAAUGUUAUCACCAAGAGGAGACUUUCUAGGGACUUACUCUGAACACCCUGAUGUCAAGCCAUUAAUACCUGUAGGAAUACUAACAACGCCAUCAGAUAAUAUCAUUGUUACAGUUAUGGACAAUCUUUCAUUACAUAUACUGACUGACCAAG
This 379-nucleotide long non-coding RNA is filed under the name Mytilus galloprovincialis (Mediterranean mussel). Lineage: Eukaryota; Metazoa; Mollusca; Bivalvia; Mytilida; Mytilidae. The record is from RNAcentral.